CCAGACUCCUACGGGAGGCAGCAGUGGGGAAUAUUGCACAAUGGGCGCAAGCCUGAUGCAGCCAUGCCGCGUGUAUGAAGAAGGCCUUCGGGUUGUAAAGUACUUUCAGCGGGGAGGAAGGGAGUAAAGUUAAUACCUUUGCUCAUUGACGUUACCCGCAGAAGAAGCACCGGCUAACUCCGUGCCAGCAGCCGCGGUAAUACGGAGGGUGCAAGCGUUAAUCGGAAUUACUGGGCGUAAAGCGCACGCAGGCGGUUUGUUAAGUCAGAUGUGAAAUCCCCGGGCUCAACCUGGGAACUGCAUCUGAUACUGGCAAGCUUGAGUCUCGUAGAGGGGGGUAGAAUUCCAGGUGUAGCGGUGAAAUGCGUAGAGAUCUGGAGGAAUACCGGUGGCGAAGGCGGCCCCCUGGACGAAGACUGACGCUCAGGUGCGAAAGCGUGGGGAGCAAACAGGAUUAGAUACCCGAGUA
RNAcentral lists this ribosomal RNA (469 nucleotides) under uncultured bacterium. RNAcentral's name for it is "bacterial SSU rRNA". It matches the Rfam family "Bacterial small subunit ribosomal RNA", at positions 331 to 792 of the family's 1533-position model. The record is from RNAcentral.